RNAcentral lists this small RNA (27 nucleotides) under Bombyx mori (domestic silkworm). RNAcentral describes it as "ovarian small RNA-24873". Lineage: Eukaryota; Metazoa; Arthropoda; Insecta; Lepidoptera; Bombycidae. The record is from RNAcentral.
UCAAUGCCCACCUGGGGAAUGACCGGG